The sequence is a small nuclear RNA, 82 nucleotides long. Its record names the gene U2. It matches the Rfam family "U2 spliceosomal RNA". From Rfam's summary of the family: U2 is a small nuclear RNA (snRNA) component of the spliceosome (involved in pre-mRNA splicing). Complementary binding between U2 snRNA (in an area lying towards the 5' end but 3' to hairpin I) and the branchpoint sequence (BPS) of the intron results the bulging out of an unpaired adenosine, on the BPS, which initiates a nucleophilic attack at the intronic 5' splice site, thus starting the first of two transesterification reactions that mediate splicing. The record is from Ensembl.
AUCGCUUCUCGGCCUUUUGGCUAAGAUCAAGUGUAGUACCUUGAUGAAUUCAUCACAAAGUUUUAAAAUGUUUUAAAUGUUC